Long non-coding RNA from Beta vulgaris subsp. vulgaris (sugar beet), 611 nucleotides. RefSeq lists it as uncharacterized. Lineage: Eukaryota; Viridiplantae; Streptophyta; Magnoliopsida; Caryophyllales; Amaranthaceae. The transcript is spliced from 2 exons. The record is from RefSeq and is a predicted model, not a curated record.
CAAAAAAUAAGAACUUCCACAACACGAAAAUUUCUGAUAUUGGUGUUCUUCCAUCAGCAGCAAAAAAAAAUCAACUUCAUCACCUUCCAUUAAUCAGGCAGCAUAAUGUCAAGAAAUAGCUAUGGUGGUUCCAUGCCCCCAAUUCCCAGAAGAUGUCAUUGUGGGUUUGUUGUAACCAAAAUCAGAGCCUGGACAAGAGACAACCCUGGUAGAAGGUUUGUAGCAUGCCCUGACUACGAUGCUGAGACUGAUACAACGGGGUGCAAGUUAUUCAAAUGGUGUGAUGUUGAAGAGCCUAUAGAGUGGCAAAAAAAUGUGAUUUUGGGGUUAAUGGAGGAGAAGCAGGAGCUUAGAAGGGAAGUGAUGUUGCUGAGGCACAAUUUGAAGACAGCAAAUGAGAAGGCAAGGAAGAGUGAAUCAAAAUAUAUCAUGCUGAAAAUGAAGAAGGGUGGAUUUAUGUGUGUUAGGGCUUGGAUUUGUGUACUCCUUGUUGUUCUUGUUUGUUUAUGGUACAAUAUAUAACUAUGUAAGGGGUUUAUUUAGGACUCUAAUUACUAUAUCAAGGCAUGUAGUAGCAUAUUAUUAAUUAAUUAUAAGUUACCUUUCAACUA